Molecule: transfer RNA, 75 nt
Filed under: Caudoviricetes sp.
Lineage: Duplodnaviria; Heunggongvirae; Uroviricota; Caudoviricetes
Description: tRNA-Pro
Rfam family: tRNA
About the family: Transfer RNA (tRNA) molecules are approximately 80 nucleotides in length. Their secondary structure includes four short double-helical elements and three loops (D, anti-codon, and T loops). Further hydrogen bonds mediate the characteristic L-shaped molecular structure. tRNAs have two regions of fundamental functional importance: the anti-codon, which is responsible for specific mRNA codon recognition, and the 3' end, to which the tRNAs corresponding amino acid is attached (by aminoacyl-tRNA synthetases). tRNAs cope with the degeneracy of the genetic code in two manners: having more than one tRNA (with a specific anti-codon) for a particular amino acid; and 'wobble' base-pairing, i.e. permitting non-standard base-pairing at the 3rd anti-codon position.
Source: RNAcentral
UGGGGUAUAGCAUAGCUCGGUUAAUGCGCUGGUUUUGGGAACCAGAGACCGUGGGUUCGAAUCCCACUACUCCAG